UAUUCUUACAGACCCACGCCACUAAGAAGUGCAAAAAGUGUUACAAGAUCAGGAGAUGAACGAAAAUGAUUUUGAUUCAUUAGAGUUUGUUACCAACCAUUCAAAAUGUUCAUAUGCCGCGUACACGUUACAAGUAAAAAAGUUGUAUGGGGACAAGGAUUGCGAUGAUUUAGCCGUGUAGUAGAGUCUGCUUCUUGAGUGUAAGGGUCGUAAGAUGUUCGACAUAGGAUCUUCUAAUCCUGUUUUUGUGGUGAUUAGAAAACCAUCUUCCAGAACUUGCGGGUCAUACGAUGAUGCCCCGACAGUCGCAUGAGCUUCAAAAAGUUCAAGCGGAAUUAGAAAGAGAACGAGAGGCCCGACAAAACAUGGAAUCCCGUUUCGAACAAUUUCAACAAGAGCGCGAAAAAGAGCGGGCCGACCAAGCGGCAUGGCAAAAAACUAUGGAAGACAAGCUGAAAAACAUCGGAAAUAAGUAAACUCUCGUCUUGUUAAGUAUUGGAAUGUUAAAGGUCGGAUUAGUGCUUUUAAUUAGGAUUUUUUGUGCGUUUUGGAAUGUUUUAAAAUUUUUGGAAUGUUUGGAAU
Helianthus annuus (common sunflower) is the source of this 582-nucleotide long non-coding RNA. RefSeq lists it as uncharacterized. The transcript is spliced from 3 exons. The record is from RefSeq and is a predicted model, not a curated record. NCBI's taxonomy places the organism in Eukaryota, Viridiplantae, Streptophyta, Magnoliopsida, Asterales, Asteraceae.